CCGGCAAUAGAUCGGUGUGGUUCACUCAGUUGGUCGAUGAAGAAUCGAAGCCGCAUAUUCAGUUGACGAAGAGUCGGAGUUCUAUGUCCGAUCGAUCGACUAUUGUUGAGUCAGAGUCAAUAGUCGGUUGAACUGAAUCGGAGGUCGAUUGACUUACCCCAACAGUUACCCCCACUCUCAAGUCCAAAGUGAUUCGACGUGUAUAUUACCACGUAGUUUGUCAC
RNAcentral lists this long non-coding RNA (224 nucleotides) under Elaeis guineensis (African oil palm). RNAcentral describes it as "long non-coding RNA (EGUI_LNC024435)". The record is from RNAcentral. Lineage: Eukaryota; Viridiplantae; Streptophyta; Magnoliopsida; Arecales; Arecaceae.